RNAcentral lists this long non-coding RNA (165 nucleotides) under Felis catus (domestic cat). RNAcentral's name for it is "lncRNA (ENSFCAG00000047574.1)". Lineage: Eukaryota; Metazoa; Chordata; Mammalia; Carnivora; Felidae. The record is from RNAcentral.
AGAUUCUACUCAUUGGUCGAAUAACCACUGUGGUCUCUCAUCUUUUAUUAGAGAAAGAGGCCCUUUCCAAAUUCAUUCUGAAGUUCCAGAUGGAGAAUUGUGCAUUUCUCACAUUUCUAGUCUUUCAAUCCCACCAAAUCUCUUGGGAACGCCUGUUGCAAUUCU